RNAcentral lists this ribosomal RNA (253 nucleotides) under uncultured bacterium. RNAcentral describes it as "partial 16S ribosomal RNA". It matches the Rfam family "Bacterial small subunit ribosomal RNA", at positions 524 to 776 of the family's 1533-position model. The record is from RNAcentral.
CACGUAGGGCGCAAGCGUUGUCCGGAAUUACUGGGCGUAAAGAGCUCGUAGGCGGUCUGUCGCGUCGGAUGUGAAAAUCCAGGGCUCAACCCUGGACCUGCAUUCGAUACGGGCAGACUAGAGUUCGGCAGGGGAGACUGGAAUUCCUGGUGUAGCGGUGAAAUGCGCAGAUAUCAGGAGGAACACCGGUGGCGAAGGCGGGUCUCUGGGCCGAUACUGACGCUGAGGAGCGAAAGCGUGGGGAGCGAACAGG